UUUUUUUUUUUUUUUUUUUUUUUUUUUUAAGAUUUUAUUUAUUUAUUCAUGAGAGACAGAGAGAGACAGAGACACAGGCAGGGGGAGAAGCAGGCUCCAUGCAAGGAGCCCAAUGUGGGACUUGAUCCUGGAUCUCCAGGAUCACACCCCAGGCUGCAGGCGGCGCUAAACCGCUGCACCACCGGGGCUGCCCAAGGGCAGGUUUUAUCGUGAUAGUUUUAUUACUUGUGAACAUUUCCCUUUCUGGGAAAGUUAUGGAUGACUUCGUUUGGUUGAAAAACCUGAGUGAUCUGAAAGGGGAAAUAGACUGGUUUUUCCCAUCACCUUUUCUUCGGGACAAAUUUUGUAUCUAGAACUUAUUCCAACCUGUAGCUUACUCCAGUUUACCAUAUAUCAUUUUUGAAAUACAAUCUUGUCUGAAAACAGCAAUGUCUAAAUUUUGUCUAAUCAUCUCUGUGUAUGUAGAAAAACAUAGGAAAUUCAUUCUUAGGUGGUGCUAAGAAAAUUUAGUCCUGAAGUUUGUGCUGGUAUCCUUGUGAAGCCUUAGGAACAUGUUUCCAACUUAAAUUGAUAGUUGUAUGUGGUCUAGCCUUGACUGUGCUAAUGGACAUCUGUAGAGUUUUUCUAAUCAAGGUCAGGAUUUCAUAUAUAUGUUGGAGAUGCACUAUUUUGAGAUUUUCAUUUUGUUGUGAAUCACAGUGAUUUGGGACGUUAAGCAGAUCAUGCAAGUUCAAGUUAGUGGCACUUCUAAAAGUUAUCUGAAGGUGUUGAAUGAAUAUUUGCUAUACUUUUUGGUAAACCAAAUUGAUUCUUUUUUUUUUUUUUUUUUUUUUGGUAUUCUUCCAAAUACUAAGCACAUCAAGUUGACAGUAACAAAUACUUUGAAUAUCACGGAUUUGGGUUAAUAAAAUUUAGGCAAGGCAGGCACCAAAUCGCUGAGCCACCCAGGGAUCCCCAGUUUUGAAAUUUAAUUACAAAAAAUUGAAAUUUAAAUUCUUAGUCACACUAGCCACAUAUCCAGUGCAGAAGAGCCUUAUAUAACUAUUGGCUACCAUAUUGGAGAGUGCAUCUCCUUACACUCAGGAGCAAAUGAGUGUGUAUAUGCAUAUUGUUUCUCUGUCUUUAUAGGCAGUUGGUGUGGUUCGUACCUUGCUUUUUUACUUAGUCCUAUAACUUGGCAAUUACUCCAUUUCACUACAUAAAGGGCUCUAUUUUUUUCCCCUAGUGUGUACUAUGUUUAUGUAGGGUGAACCAUGACUUACAUAACUAAUCCCCUAUUGAUGGAUACUUGGAUUUAUUCCCUUUCCCCUAAUCACUUUGCUAUUAUGAAGUGGCCAUUUUAGCAUUCUUUACACAGUUUACAAUCUACUGUGCUAAUACUCUUUUCCUGGUAUGUUUACCUUAAUUAGAUUGUGAAAUCCUAAAAAGCAGAGGCCAUGUUCUUCUUUUGUGAUACUGCUGGGUUUAAUUUAAUGUCCUUCACAUACCUAGACACCUAAUUAUGAGUUUUGGAUAGAUAUUAUUUGAAUUUGUGUGAACCUGAGCAAGAGGUCCAUUUUGGGGAUGAAGGCUAGUGGAUUAUUUGUUCACUAGAGAGGUAAAAGCCCUGUUACCUCUCUAGUGAACAAAGCAUCAAAACUGAGUAACAUUCAGUUUUACAGCCAUUAAUCAUUGAAUUGUUAAGCCACCAUCAAAUGCUACACCAUUUAAAGAGCUGUUGUAAAUCUCUUAGCACUCUAUUAUAAAAUUCCAUUCUUGAUCUGAUAUUAUCUUUUAGCAUUAUUCCCUGUGGUGGUGUUUAUGAAAGAAAUAUGCAUUUCAUUAGUAGUAUAAGUGAAAAUUCUGAGUAAUGUUUCUGUCUCAAACUUAGACAAAACCAAGUGUUUGGCCAUCAUGGGGUUGCUUAACAGGACAUAAAUACCAUGUGAUUAUUUAUAGCCUGAAUAUUCCUAUUUGAAAAUUAUAGCAGAAUAACAUUUGAUUGAUAGAGUAUAGGUUUUGAAAAUGAAGCAAUUAGUCAUUAAUUGCAUGAUUAAUUAGUAUAUAAGAAUUGUAUUCAUUUGUGUCGAAUAAAUGUCUGAAUCGUCAAGAGCCUUGCUAUUUGGAUUCGGUUAUUCUACUGGUCUAAGAAAUUAGCCUUUGAUGUGAACAAGAGUAGCUAAAGAAUAAGAACAAAUAAUAAAGGGUAUUUUCUUCCAGCUCAUGAAAGAAGAAAUUGAGAAUUUAAGUGUAUCAUGAGUGGAAGAAAUUAAAUUGUUGAAUGGGCACCUAGGAAAGAAAAAUCAGUACAAGUGUUCUUUCUCCCUAGUGUUUUUGGAAGGUCUACUUCAAGGUGUGUACAAAACUGCAAAUAUUAUAGUAGAAAACAGGUUUGUUCAUUUUGUUUUUCUAAGAAUGUUUCUGGCAGCAAGUUGGCUUUUUACAUUGUCUUCAAAUAAGAUGAAAUUCUAAGCCAGAAUUCAUAAAAAAAAAAGAAACCCUUAAAAAUUAAAAGUUUAAUGUAUGCGCAGGUGUACAGCAUUCCAUAAAGCAUUUUAAGUGAGGUAAUUCUCUCCAUUUAACUCUACAAUCCACCAUAUAGUUGUCCAAUGAGGUGAACCAGUGCAUUUGGCUCUCGAGCAUUUACCAGCUUUGCUUUUGGUUUCAAAUAAAACUGGUCCAGCCAGAAGUCAGAGUAACACUCAGCAGGCAGCUGUUGCAGAAUGGACUCGGUUGACGGGAGAUCUGGAACCCAGUCUCUGUUCUACUUGUUGGCUGGUUACUUUCUUCCCCUCAUCAGGCCUCAGUGGCCGGUGGAAGAAGAUAAUUAUACAGCACAAAAGUCUGGAAGUAACACCAGCACAUAACAGACUUUCAGUUUUGCUUGUUAAAUUAUAAAUAUUACCUGCUUUUUUGGAAACAGUUUCUUGUAAUGCUGACAUCGUUAUUGUACUAAACGGAAAUCAAAGAGAAAGAGAACGUGUCUGUUCUCAUUUCUCUCUCCCGGGAAGUGAAAGGAAGAUGAGGUUGGUUUUCUUCAUCAGUCCUCCAUGAAAGUCUGUGCCAAGUGCAGGGAAGUUGUUCUUGGAACACUGAAUACAAAAUGGGUACUAAUCUUAAUGAAAAUCACAUUCCCUUUUAGGGGAGAAAAAUGCCCCCUCUGAGAUUAGGAGUAUGCUACCAAGGUGAUUGCAGUUGUGAUUGUUUCCUCACUCCACCAUUGUGGGAAUUGCCUUAUAUUUUUGUAUUUCACUUUUCUUCUCUGUGAGAGGAGAGUAACUCUAACUGCAUUUCUUUGAUUUUUUUUUUGUUAGGACUGAUAUGUAGUGAAUGAACAUUUUCUAUUGUAAUGUCAUGGACAAGAACAUCAUUAUUCAAAAGAGGGAAUGGGAAUUUGAGACACUAUUCUAACCAUAGACUCGUAUAUUGAAGAUUUUUUUUUUUUUUUUACAUCGUGAUUACAGUGAUACUAUCAUUUAGGAUAGGAGGCUAGUGGGCAGCAUUUCUUCCAGAUCGUAGAAAGCUGUAACUCUUCAGGUUCUGGUGGCAGCAUUGAUAGCAUGAUCCAAAAGUUAACUCUGCAAACCCAUGACUAAAAGCCUUUAUUAGAGCAAAUACAAUUAAAUAUAGUCGUAUUAAUGUUUUUCUAGAUUUGCUUUUUUUUUUUUUUUUUGCUAAUACAGGAUUAUUUUCCAUAUUCUUGCAGGUAAGAUUGGAUAUCGAAAAGGCUAUUCAGAAUUUCUUGACCUAAUUAAGAUCUACUUUUUCUUAAUAUAAUGAAAAUUUUGAGGCAGAAUGAAUUAUACUUAUGCAUAGACUCUGUACUUGGAAAGUUUCUUGAACAUUAAGGUGUUCCCGGUAAAUUUUCUUUUAAAUAAAUGUGUUUUACAAGACCGUAUAUAAUAUGGAACCUCAGUUACUUCAGGGUUUAAACAAAUAUUUUUAAGUUCAGAUUUCCACUAAUUAAAAAGAUCAGGAAAAAAAAAAAAAA
RNAcentral lists this long non-coding RNA (3970 nucleotides) under Canis lupus familiaris (dog). Its description in RNAcentral is "lncRNA (ENSCAFG00000058126.1)". Lineage: Eukaryota; Metazoa; Chordata; Mammalia; Carnivora; Canidae. The record is from RNAcentral.